GGGAAUAUGGCUUAGUGGUAGAGUGCUUGUCUUGCAUGCAUGAGGCUCUGGGUUCGAUUCCUCAGCACCA
This 70-nucleotide transfer RNA is filed under the name Dipodomys ordii (Ord's kangaroo rat). It matches the Rfam family "tRNA". From Rfam's summary of the family: Transfer RNA (tRNA) molecules are approximately 80 nucleotides in length. Lineage: Eukaryota; Metazoa; Chordata; Mammalia; Rodentia; Heteromyidae. The record is from Rfam by way of RNAcentral.